AGAGUGAACGCUGGCGGCAGGCCUAAUACAUGCAAGUCGAACGGAUCCUUCGGGAUUAGUGGCGGACGGGUGAGUAACACGUGGGAACGUGCCCUUUGGUUCGGAACAACUCAGGGAAACUUGAGCUAAUACCGAAUGUGCCCCCAUCCUUAAACAAGAUGGGUGGGAAAGAUUUAUCGCCAUUGGAGCGGCCCGCGUCUGAUUAGCUAGUUGGUGAGGUAAAGGCCCACCAAGGCUACGAUCAGUAGCUGGUCUGAGAGGAUGAUCAGCCACACUGGGACUGAGACACGGCCCAGACUCCUACGGGAGGCAGCAGUAGGGAAUCUUGCGCAAUGGGGGAAACCCUGACGCAGCAACGCCGCGUGGAGGAUGAAGUCCCUUGGGACGUAAACUCCUUUCGAUCGGGACGAUAAUGACGGUACCGAGAGAAGAAGCCCCGGCUAACUUCGUGCCAGCAGCCGC
This 462-nucleotide ribosomal RNA is filed under the name uncultured bacterium. Its description in RNAcentral is "SSU rRNA". It matches the Rfam family "Bacterial small subunit ribosomal RNA", at positions 26 to 518 of the family's 1533-position model. The record is from RNAcentral.